UGAGGAAUAUUGCACAAUGGGCGCAAGCCUGAUGCAGCAACGCCGCGUGAGGGACGAAGGCCUUCGGGUCGUAAACCUCUUUUCUGGGGGACGAGUAAGGACGGUACCCCAGGAAUAAGUCUCGGCUAACUACGUGCCAGCAGCCGCGGUAAAACGUAGGAGGCGAGCGUUAUCCGGAUUUACUGGGCGUAAAGCGUACGCAGGUGGCUUCGUUAGUCGGACAUGGAAGCUCCUGGCUUAACUGGGAGAGGUUGUUCGAUACUGCGGGGCUUGAGGUUGGGAGAGGGACGUGGAAUUCCCGGUGUAGUGGUGGAAUGCGUAGAUAUCGGGAGGAACACCAGUGGCGCAAGCGGCGUCCUGGCCCACACCUGACGCUGAGGUACGAAAUCGUGGGUAGCAAACAG
RNAcentral lists this ribosomal RNA (404 nucleotides) under uncultured bacterium. Its description in RNAcentral is "bacterial SSU rRNA". It matches the Rfam family "Bacterial small subunit ribosomal RNA", at positions 355 to 775 of the family's 1533-position model. The record is from RNAcentral.